RNAcentral lists this non-coding RNA (27 nucleotides) under Mus musculus (house mouse). Lineage: Eukaryota; Metazoa; Chordata; Mammalia; Rodentia; Muridae. The record is from RNAcentral.
UGCUGCACAUUAACCCAUGCCAUUUCC